CUGCUGCGUGAAGCUUGGCUUGCGCCGUUGCCGACGCUGCCAGCUUUUUGCUGCUGGCUAGCGCCACGUAGCAGG
This 75-nucleotide transfer RNA is filed under the name Candidatus Hodgkinia cicadicola Dsem. Its description in RNAcentral is "tRNA-Gly". Lineage: Bacteria; Pseudomonadati; Pseudomonadota; Alphaproteobacteria; Hyphomicrobiales. The record is from RNAcentral.